UUGAACGCUGGCGGCAUGCCUUACACAUGCAAGUCGAACGGUAACGGGCCUUCGGGUGCCGACGAGUGGCGACCGGGUGAGUAAUACAUCGGAACGUGCCCGAUCGUGGGGGAUAACGAGGCGAAAGCUUUGCUAAUACCGCAUACGAUCUACGGAUGAAAGCAGGGGACCGCAAGGCCUUGCGCGGACGGAGCGGCCGAUGGCAGAUUAGGUAGUUGGUGGGAUAAAAGCUUACCAAGCCGACGAUCUGUAGCUGGUCUGAGAGGAUGAUCAGCCACACUGGGACUGAGACACGGCCCAGACUCCUACGGGAGGCAGCAGUGGGGAAUUUUGGACAAUGGGCGCAAGCCUGAUCCAGCCAUGCCGCGUGCAGGAUGAAGGCCUUCGGGCUGUAAACUGCUUUUGUACGGAACGAAAAGCCUUCUUUUAAUACAGGAGGGUCAUGACGGUACCGUAAGAAUAAGCACCGGCUAACUACGUG
RNAcentral lists this ribosomal RNA (481 nucleotides) under uncultured bacterium. Its description in RNAcentral is "partial 16S ribosomal RNA". It matches the Rfam family "Bacterial small subunit ribosomal RNA", at positions 30 to 507 of the family's 1533-position model. The record is from RNAcentral.